AAGGGAGAGGAAUAGGUAGAAAUCUACCCUCGGGACGGGGAUAGCGGCGGGAAACUGCCGGUAAUACCCGAUAACAUCUUCGGAUCAAAGGUGUGAUUCCGCCUGGGGAUGAGUCUACUUCCUAUUAGCUUGUUGGCGGGGUAAUGGCCCACCAAGGCAACGAUGGGUAGCGGGUGUGAGAGCAUGACCCGCCUCACUGGGACUGAGAACUGCCCAGACACCUACGGGUGGCUGCAGUCGAGAAUCUUCGGCAAUGGGCGCAAGCCUGACCGAGCGACGCCGCGUGCGGGAUGAAGGCCUUCGGGUUGUAAACCGCUGUCGUAGGGGAACAAAUUUAUGGGGGUUCUCCCCUGUAAUUGAGUGAUCCUAGGAGGAAGGAGAGGCUAAGCUCGUGCCAGCAGCCGCGGUAAGACGAGCUCUCCAAACGUUAUUCGGUAUCACUGGGCUUAAAGAGUUCGUAGGCGGCCUUGCAGGUGAGGUGUGAAAGCCCUCGGCUCAACCGGGGAACUGCGCUUCAAACCGCAAGGCUGGAGGGAGAUAGAGGUGAGCGGAACAGAUGGUGGAGCGGUGAAAUGCGUUGA
Molecule: ribosomal RNA, 581 nt
Filed under: uncultured bacterium
Lineage: Bacteria
Description: bacterial SSU rRNA
Rfam family: Bacterial small subunit ribosomal RNA
Source: RNAcentral